Mya arenaria is the source of this 430-nucleotide long non-coding RNA. RefSeq lists it as uncharacterized. The record is from RefSeq and is a predicted model, not a curated record. Lineage: Eukaryota; Metazoa; Mollusca; Bivalvia; Myida; Myidae. The transcript has 3 exons.
GACAAAGUGAUAGUGGUGCGUUGUAAAAGAAACUUAAGAACGUAUCACUUCAACACGAUCAACUAGAAUGAAUACAGCGGUUUCGUUAUUGCUGGUAACCGUAAUUGGAUUUGCGGUCGGCGAGGAUUGUCGUCGCAGCAGCGAUUGUACAACCGUGACGUGUCCGUCGGAGUAUGUCAUGGAGUGUCAUUACCCCAACAGAAUAUGUACAUGCACUCAUGUGAAACAGUGCAUUCAAGUUUCGGACUGUGCGGACCCAACCUGCACCCACACAAUACACUGCAUAGACAAUAUUUGCCGAUGCGGCUACGGAUACACCAACGUGACCAGGUCUUUGAACUAGAAGUGAAUGCAGUGUGAGGAUCCUUGUCGGUUUGGAAAGUCACAUCGCAUUUAUAAUCCAAUAGCAAAUAAACACCAGCAGACACUA